UACGAGAGGCCCAAACGUUAUUCGGAAUUACUGGGCUUAAAGAGUUCGUAGGCGGCGCAGAAAGUAGGGUGUGAAAGCCCUCGGCUUAACCGAGGAAUUGCGCCCUAAACUACCGUGCUUGAGGAACCUAGAGGUGAGCAGAACAGAUGGUGGAGCGGUGAAAUGCGUUGAUAUCAUCUGGAAUACCGGAGGCGAAGGCGGCUCACUGGGGGUUUUCUGACGCUGAGGAACGAAAGCCAGGGUAGCGAACGGG
Molecule: ribosomal RNA, 253 nt
Filed under: uncultured bacterium
Lineage: Bacteria
Description: partial 16S ribosomal RNA
Rfam family: Bacterial small subunit ribosomal RNA
Source: RNAcentral